RNAcentral lists this ribosomal RNA (1448 nucleotides) under uncultured organism. Its description in RNAcentral is "16S ribosomal RNA". It matches the Rfam family "Bacterial small subunit ribosomal RNA". The record is from RNAcentral.
UGGCGGCGUGCUUAACACAUGCAAGUCGAACGGAAAGGCCCUGCUUUUGUGGGGUGCUCGAGUGGCGAACGGGUGAGUAACACGUGAGUAACCUGCCCUUGACUUUGGGAUAACUUCAGGAAACUGGGGCUAAUACCGGAUAGGAGCUCCUGCUGCAUGGUGGGGGUUGGAAAGUUUCGGCGGUUGGGGAUGGACUCGCGGCUUAUCAGCUUGUUGGUGGGGUAGUGGCUUACCAAGGCUUUGACGGGUAGCCGGCCUGAGAGGGUGACCGGCCACAUUGGGACUGAGAUACGGCCCAGAUUCCUACGGGAGGCAGCAGUGGGGAAUAUUGCACAAUGGGCGGAAGCCUGAUGCAGCAACGCCGCGUGCGGGAUGACGGCCUUCGGGUUGUAAACCGCUUUCGCCUGUGACGAAGCGUGAGUGACGGUAAUGGGUAAAGAAGCACCGGCUAACUACGUGCCAGCAGCCGCGGUGAUACGUAGGGUGCGAGCGUUGUCCGGAUUUAUUGGGCGUAAAGGGCUCGUAGGUGGUUGAUCGCGUCGGAAGUGUAAUCUUGGGGCUUAACCCUGAGCGUGCUUUCGAUACGGGUUGACUUGAGGAAGGUAGGGGAGAAUGGAAUUCCUGGUGGAGCGGUGGAAUGCGCAGAUAUCAGGAGGAACACCAGUGGCGAAGGCGGUUCUCUGGGCCUUUCCUGACGCUGAGGAGCGAAAGCGUGGGGAGCGAACAGGCUUAGAUACCCUGGUAGUCCACGCUGUAAACGGUGGGUACUAGGUGUGGGGUCCAUUCCACGGGUUCCGUGCCGUAGCUAACGCUUUAAGUACCCCGCCUGGGGAGUACGGCCGCAAGGCUAAAACUCAAAGGAAUUGACGGGGCCCCGCACAAGCGGCGGAGCAUGCGGAUUAAUUCGAUGCAACGCGUAGAACCUUACCUGGGUUUGACAUGGAUCGGGAGUGCUCAGAGAUGGGUGUACCUCUUUUGGGGUCGGUUCACAGGUGGUGCAUGGCUGUCGUCAGCUCGUGUCGUGAGAUGUUGGGUUAAGUCCCGCAACGAGCGCAACCCUUGUUCACUGUUGCCAGCACGUUAUGGUGGGGACUCAGUGGAGACCGCCGGGGUCAACUCGGAGGAAGGUGGGGAUGACGUCAAGUCAUCAUGCCCCUUAUGUCCAGGGCUUCACGCAUGCUACAAUGGCUGGUACAGAGAGUGGCGAGCCUGUGAGGGUGAGCGAAUCUCGGAAAGCCGGUCUCAGUUCGGAUUGGGGUCUGCAACUCGACCUCAUGAAGUCGGAGUCGCUAGUAAUCGCAGAUCAGCAACGCUGCGGUGAAUACGUUCCCGGGGCUUGUACACACCGCCCGUCAAGUCAUGAAAGUUGGUAACACCCGAAGCCGGUGGCCUAACCGUUGUGGGGGAGCCGUCGAAGGUGGGACUGGUGAUUAGGACUAAGUCAUAAC